CCAACGGGAGGCUGCAGUUAAGAAUCUUGCGCAAUGGGGGAAACCCUGACGCAGCGACGCCGCGUGGACGAUGAAGGCCUUCGGGUUGUAAAGUCCAAUAAGCGGGGAAGAAUAAGCAACGGGUAAUAUUCGUUGUGAUGACGGUACCUGCCUAAAGCCCCGGCUAACUACGUGCCAGCAGCCGCGGUAAUACGGAUGGGGCUAGCGUUGAUCGGAAUUAUUGGGCGUAAAGGGCGUGUAGGCGGGGGAUUAAGUUGGGUGUGAAAUCCCGGGGCUUAACCCAGGAACUG
This 290-nucleotide ribosomal RNA is filed under the name uncultured prokaryote. RNAcentral's name for it is "partial 16S ribosomal RNA". It matches the Rfam family "Bacterial small subunit ribosomal RNA", at positions 338 to 623 of the family's 1533-position model. The record is from RNAcentral.